This 472-nucleotide ribosomal RNA is filed under the name uncultured bacterium. RNAcentral describes it as "partial 16S ribosomal RNA". It matches the Rfam family "Bacterial small subunit ribosomal RNA", at positions 28 to 523 of the family's 1533-position model. The record is from RNAcentral.
GACGAACGCUGGCGGCGUGCUUAACACAUGCAAGUCGAGCGAGAAACCUUCGGGUUUCUAGCGGCGGACGGGUGAGUAACACGUGGGUAACCUGCCUCAAAGAGGGGGAUAGCCUUCCGAAAGGAAGAUUAAUACCGCAUAAUAUUACAGUUUCGAAUGAAGCAGUAAUUAAAGGAGUAAUCCGCUUUGAGAUGGACCCGCGGCGCACUAGCUAGUUGGAGAGGUAACGGCUCACCAAGGCAACGAGGAGUAGCCGACCUGAGAAGGUGAUCGGCCACAUUGGAACUGAGCCACGUGCCAGACUCCUACGGGAGGCAGCAGGGGGGAAUAUUGCACAAUGGGCGAAAGCCUGAUGCAGCAACGCCGCGUGAGUGAUGAAGGUCUUCGGAUUGUAAAGCUCUGUCUUUUGGGACGAUAAUGACGGUACCAAAGGAGGAAGCCACGGCUAACUACGUGCCAGCCGCCGCGGUAA